RNAcentral lists this unclassified non-coding RNA (337 nucleotides) under soil metagenome. RNAcentral's name for it is "partial contains 5.8S ribosomal RNA, internal transcribed spacer 2, and large subunit ribosomal RNA". The stretch from base 1 to 120 matches the Rfam family "5.8S ribosomal RNA", at positions 35 to 154 of the family's 154-position model. The record is from RNAcentral.
GAUGAAGAACGUAGCGAAAUGCGAUAAGUAGUGUGAAUUGCAGAAUUCAGUGAAUCAUCGAAUCUUUGAACGCACAUUGCGCCCCUUGGUAUUCCAUGGGGCAUGCCUGUUCGAGCGUCAUUUGUACCUUCAAGCUCUGCUUGGUGUUGGGUGUUUGUCUCGCCUCUGCGUGUAGACUCGCCUCAAAACAAUUGGCAGCCGGCGUAUUGAUUUCGGAGCGCAGUACAUCUCGCGCUUUGCACUCAUAACGACGACGUCCAAAAGUACAUUUUUACACUCUUGACCUCGGAUCAGGUAUGGAUACCCGCUGAACUUAAGCAUAUCAAUAAGCGGAGGA